Long non-coding RNA from Astyanax mexicanus (Mexican tetra), 729 nucleotides. RefSeq lists it as uncharacterized. The record is from RefSeq and is a predicted model, not a curated record. The transcript has 3 exons. NCBI's taxonomy places the organism in Eukaryota, Metazoa, Chordata, Actinopteri, Characiformes, Acestrorhamphidae.
UAAAUGAUGAGUAAAUGAUUAGAUGAGUACUAGUAGAAACUAGAGAUGGGACCGAUCCGAUACAAUAUCGGUAUCAGGGCCGAUACUGACUUAAUCCGACGAAUCGGAUAUCGGGCGGGCGCUGCCGAUCCACUUACCGAUCCAUAUUCCAGUCCAAAGCUUGAGCUGAACAAUAAAUCCGCCAUAACGUUAACACAAAACGCAUCCCUGAUCAGGAUUCCAGUUUAACAGUUUACCCUGAACCCCCAGCAGCUUCAGUCUGCGGGUGACUGAGUAACUUUAGCUGUUUAUCUACAAAAAAAGUCCAUUAUCUGGAGAGUUUUCACUUUGGAAACGCUGUACAGCAGAACGGUACACGUAAAGUCAGCGUCUGAGAGGUGUGUGAUUGGUGGGCCAGUGGACCUCGUUGUGGACGCUGAUCCGUGAUUGGUGGCUCUGCAGGGUGAAGGGGAAGGAGCUGACCUGCAGAACCAGAACGUUCUCUGCGUCUAGAACCUCAGAACAGUUCACCACGCGGUCCGCCAGACCCUGCAGCUCCCCGUGAGACGCCGAGCCCGACAUAGAACUGAGAGCGAGAGAAAGAGAGCUGUUAGGAAGCUCCACUGAUCGUAUAUAAAACCUGUGAUUAUGGAAUGGAAGUCAGAAAUGAGAAAGGUGUAAUGUAGUGAUCAGUACCCGGUCAGGUCCACGUGUGAGUUGUCGUGGAUCAGGACGAACAGCGUGUACGGG